AUUCCUGCCUUAGUACUUGUGAGGAUUACAUGAGAUAAUGAGUGGGAAGCAACUAAAGAUAGUAAGAACGUAAGUAAACAGGUCCUCAUGGAGAUUGGAAGUCAGAAGAAAGCCAAGGAAAGAACUGGUCAUAUUAUUUCCAGAGGUCUUCUCAGAUCAGGAUUUUGCUUCAUCCACUACCCUCCACUUCCAGAGAUUGUGAAGACAUGCUUUUCUACAAGUCAUGUUUCUUCUUUUCACUCUAUUGGAGAGGAGAAUAAGUCCACAGAGGUACAGAAGGAAGCCCACGUGAAGACACAGGGAAAAGCUGGCCAUCAGCAAGCCAAGGAGAGAGACCUCACAAGGAACCUCUAACAAUUUGAUUUUGGAAUUCCAGUCUCUGGAACUGUGAGGAAAUAAAUACCUGUUUAAGCUGGUCUGAGGCACUUUGUCUGCAGCUCUCCCGAACUAGUACAAUGUCCUGGAGGAGGGAGAAAAGGAACUUUGAAAAGGAUACAAAUUUACUUAAAACACAUAUAUUGGCUUGGACAAUUGUUAACAGUGUUCUUUCCUCCUGAAACUAC
Molecule: long non-coding RNA, 563 nt
Organism: Suricata suricatta (meerkat)
Lineage: Eukaryota; Metazoa; Chordata; Mammalia; Carnivora; Herpestidae
Exons: 3
Source: RefSeq, a predicted model, not a curated record